AGUGAACGCUGGCGGUAGGCCUAACACAUGCAAGUCGAACGGCAGCACAGUAAGAGCUUGCUCUUACGGGUGGCGAGUGGCGGACGGGUGAGGAAUACAUCGGAAUCUACUUUUUCGUGGGGGAUCACGUAGGGAAACUUACGAUAAUAGCACACACGACCUGCGGGUGAAAGCAGGGGAUCUUCGGACCUUGCGCGAUUAAGUGAGCCGAUGUCGGAUUAGCUAGUUGGCGGGGUAAAGGCCCACCAAGGCGACGAUCCGUAGCUGGUCUGAGAGGAUGAUCAGCCACACUGGAACUGAGACACGGUCCAGACUCCUACGGGAGGCAGCAGUGGGGAAUAUUGGACAAUGGGCGCAAGCCUGAUCCAGCCAUACCGCGUGGGUGAAGAAGGCCUUCGGGUUGUAAAGCCCUUUUGUUGGGAAAGAAAAGCAGCAGGUUAAUACCCCGCUGUUCUGACGGUACCCAAAGAAUAAGCACCGGCUAACUUCGUG
Molecule: ribosomal RNA, 492 nt
Filed under: uncultured bacterium
Lineage: Bacteria
Description: partial 16S ribosomal RNA
Rfam family: Bacterial small subunit ribosomal RNA
Source: RNAcentral